RNAcentral lists this ribosomal RNA (451 nucleotides) under uncultured bacterium. RNAcentral describes it as "partial 16S ribosomal RNA". It matches the Rfam family "Bacterial small subunit ribosomal RNA", at positions 354 to 796 of the family's 1533-position model. The record is from RNAcentral.
GUGGGGAAUCUUCCGCAAUGGGCGAAAGCCUGACGGAGCAACGCCGCGUGAGUGAAGAAGGCCUUCGGGUCGUAAAGCUCUGUCUUCAGGGACGAAAAGGCAGGGGAGUAAUAUGCCCUUGUUGUGACGGUACCUGAGGAGGAAGCUCCGGCUAACUACGUGCCAGCAGCCGCGGUAAUACGUAGGGAGCGAGCGUUGUCCGGAAUUACUGGGCGUAAAGGGCGCGUAGGCGGGAAUUUAAGUAAGGUGUGAAAACUCCGGGCUCAACCUGGAGACUGCAAUUUAAACUGGAUUUCUUGAGGGCAGGAGAGGAAAGUGGAAUUCCUAGUGUAGCGGUGAAAUGCGUAGAUAUUAGGAGGAACACCAGUGGCGAAGGCAACUUUCUGGACUGUACCUGACGCUGAGGCGCGAAAGCGUGGGGAGCGAACAGGAUUAGAUACCCUUGUAGUCC